RNAcentral lists this unclassified non-coding RNA (320 nucleotides) under uncultured fungus. RNAcentral describes it as "partial contains small subunit ribosomal RNA, internal transcribed spacer 1, and 5.8S ribosomal RNA". The stretch from base 1 to 73 matches the Rfam family "Eukaryotic small subunit ribosomal RNA", at positions 1759 to 1831 of the family's 1831-position model. Lineage: Eukaryota; Fungi. The record is from RNAcentral.
CCAAACUUGGUCAUUUAGAGGAAGUAAAAGUCGUAACAAGGUUUCCGUAGGUGAACCUGCGGAAGGAUCAUUAACGAGUUUGGGUCUUCCAGGCCCGACCUCCCAACCCUGUGUCUACUUAACCUGUGUUGCUUCGGCGGGCCCGUCCUCGGACCGCCGGGGGCACCCCCCAGGGGGUCCCUCUGGCCCGCGCCUGCCGGUGGCCUCGACUACCAAAAUCUUCGGAAUACAUCGUGUCCUGUCUGAGUAUCAAUGUUUAAAUACAAGCAAAAACUUUCAACAACGGAUCUCUUGGUUCUGGCAUCGAUGAAGAACGCAGC